UUCUCUUGAGUGAUGGUUCAGUGACCUGGAAGUGAUGUAGCCUCCAAGACAUUUUUUUUUCCCCACCUGGUCAACACCAUGAAUUUUGAGCCCCAAACAGGUUAUUUCUGCUGUCUGUGGUGUCUACUGAGGAUCUAAAGAACCUGUGGAACAUCAGAGACUUUGCAGCUACUGGAGCUAACCUGUGUACUGCUAUUGCUACAGAGGAAGCAGCAGAAAGCUGAGCUAACAGGCUGUUUUGCAGUGAAACGAAUGGAUUUUAUGAUGUAACUCUGACUGAAUAAUUAUCUAAAUUGAAAACUGCUGCAUUGCAUUACAAUGGAAGUGCUACACAGCCACAUGCAUCAACUGCAGCUGUUGACAAGCAUAUGGACCUAUUGUUCGAGUCCGUGGUGGUGGAUGCUCUAUCAUAUCAGGAGUCGGUGGUGGUGGAUGCUCUACCAUAUCAGGAGUCUGACUAAGUACCUGUGCCUGAACCUCUCUGUGUCUAGUUCAAAAGACCUGAAAGACCUGCUGUAAGCAGGCACAGGAUAAUAUUUUAAAAGAACCUGUAAGGUUGCCUGAUGCUGAACUUCGGGCAGCUGCGUGCUCAGUGGAACAACCGCCUGUGGGAGGAGUCGUUGUGUUGCUGUUAGGAGUUUGGGUCGGAGUCCUGGGUUUGUGUUCCCUUUAAUCUCUUCAUUAGCCUUGCUAGUCACCAUUGCAGAGCACCAUGGAGAGGCUUACCUGAAAACUCUUCUCAUGGGGCAGGCACAUCCUCACACACCUGUAACCCCAUCCUUGAAUAAAAGCUGGUAGCUGGUCACUCAUCAGAGUGUUUUAACCCAUAUCUAGCCCAUGACUCUGCCGUUUUUCAA
This is a long non-coding RNA of Nothobranchius furzeri (turquoise killifish), 857 nucleotides long. RefSeq lists it as uncharacterized. Lineage: Eukaryota; Metazoa; Chordata; Actinopteri; Cyprinodontiformes; Nothobranchiidae. The record is from RefSeq and is a predicted model, not a curated record.